AGGAUAAACGCUGGCGGCGUGCCUAACACAUGCAAGUCGAACGUCUCUUCUUUCGGGAAGAGGAGUGGCGGACGGGUGAGGAACACGUGGGAACCUGCCCUUCAGUGAGGAAUACCGGCGAGAAAUCGCCGACAAGACCGCAUAGGCUCGAUGCAAGUCGAGCAAAGCUCUUUCGAGAGAGGGAGCGCCACACGAGGAGCCUGCGCCCGAUUAGCUAGCUGGUGGAGUAACGGUUCACCAGGGCGACGAUCGGUAGCUGGUCUGAGAGGACGAUCAGCCACACUGGGAUUGAGAACGGCCCAGACUCCUACGGGGGGCAGCAGUGAGGAAUUUUCGUCAAUGGGGCAACCCUGAACGAGCAACGCCGCGUGCAGGAAGAAGGUUUUCGGAUCGUAAACUGCUUUUCUCGGGGAAGAGAAUGGACGGUACCCGAGGAAUCAGCCCCGGCUAACUACGUGCCAGCAGCCGC
RNAcentral lists this ribosomal RNA (469 nucleotides) under uncultured bacterium. Its description in RNAcentral is "SSU rRNA". It matches the Rfam family "Bacterial small subunit ribosomal RNA", at positions 26 to 518 of the family's 1533-position model. The record is from RNAcentral.